UACGAAGGGUGCAAGCGUUACUCGGAAUUGCUGGGCGUAAAGCGUGCGUAGGUGGUGAGUUAAGUCUGUCGUGAAAGCCCCGGGCUCAACCUGGGAAUGGCGAUGGAUACUGGCAGGCUAGAGUGCGGUAGAGGGUAGUGGAAUUCCCGGUGUAGCAGUGAAAUGCGUAGAGAUCGGGAGGAACAUCUGUGGCGAAGGCGACUACCUGGACCAGCACUGACACUGAGGCACGAAAGCGUGGGGAGCAAACAGG
RNAcentral lists this ribosomal RNA (253 nucleotides) under uncultured bacterium. Its description in RNAcentral is "partial 16S ribosomal RNA". It matches the Rfam family "Bacterial small subunit ribosomal RNA", at positions 524 to 776 of the family's 1533-position model. The record is from RNAcentral.